UAUCGAGCACCAGUUCGAAGAACCACGCGCCGGCGAUGGUCGCGGCGCCAAUGACCGCAAUACCCGCACCGGCAAUAAAUAUUGCGUCACGCGGGUGGUUAAAUGUGUCCCGAUGCCGUCGUGGUGCCGUUUGACACGCAAAAUCUCCUGUCCGGCAUGGGUCCUAGCUUGCCUGCCGUCCGCUGUCGACGCUUGGCAUGAUCACAGGCGG
This 211-nucleotide unclassified non-coding RNA is filed under the name Hevea brasiliensis (rubber tree). Lineage: Eukaryota; Viridiplantae; Streptophyta; Magnoliopsida; Malpighiales; Euphorbiaceae. The record is from RNAcentral.